CGCUAUGCAUGCAAGUCGAGCGACGCAUUUCCGGUUCGUAAGAACUGGAUCUGACGGAGCGGCGCAAUGGGUGCGUAACACGUGACCAACCUGCCCUGAAGACCGGGAUAACCUUUCGAAAGAAUGGCUAAUACCGGAUACCCUCCUAGAACCGCAUGGUUCAUUGAGGAAAUGUUUUAGCGCUUCAGGAUGAGGUCGCGGCCCACCAGCUAGUUGGUGAGGUAAUGGCUCACCAAGGCAACGACGGGUAGCUGGUCUGAGAGGGCGAUCAGCCACACUGGAACUGAGACACGGUCCAGACUCCUACGGGAGGCAGCAGCAGGGAAUCUUGCGCAAUGGGCGAAAGCCUGACGCAGCGACGCCGCGUGGGGGAUGAAGGCCUUCGGGUUGUAAACCCCUUUCAGGAGGGAAGAAAAUGACGGUACCUCCAGAAGAAGCCCCGGCCAACUACGUGCCAGCAGCCGCGGUAAUACGUAGGGGGCGAGCGUUGUCCGGAUUUAUUGGGCGUAAAGGGCUCGUAGGCGGCUUGACAAGUCGAUCGUGAAAACUCAGGGCUCAACCCUGAGACGCCGGUCGAUACUGUCAUGGCUAGGGUCCGGUAGAGGAGAAUGGAAUUCCCGGUGUAGCGGUGAAAUGCGCAGAUAUCGGGAGGAACACCAGUAGCGAAGGCGGUUCUCUGGGCCGGUACCGACGCUGAGGAGCGAAAGCGUGGGGAGCAAACAGGAUUAGAUACCCUGGUAGUCCACGCCGUAAACGUUGGGUACUAGGUGUGGCGUCUUUAUCAACGGAUGCCGUGCCGAAGCUAACGCAUUAAGUACCCCGCCUGGGGAGUACGGCCGCAAGGCUAAAACUCAAAGGAAUUGACGGGAGCCCGCACAAGCGGCGGAGCAUGCGGCUU
Molecule: ribosomal RNA, 898 nt
Filed under: uncultured marine bacterium
Lineage: Bacteria
Description: bacterial SSU rRNA
Rfam family: Bacterial small subunit ribosomal RNA
Source: RNAcentral